UACGUAGGUGGCAAGCGUUAUCCGGAUUUAUUGGGUGUAAAGGGCGUGUAGGCGGGAGCGCAAGUCAGAUGUGAAAACUCAGGGCUCAACCCUGAGCCUGCAUUUGAAACUGUGUUUCUUGAGUGCUGGAGAGGCAAUCGGAAUUCCGUGUGUAGCGGUGAAAUGCGUAGAUAUUAGGAGGAACACCAGUGGCGAAGGCGGCCUGCUGGGCUUUUACUGACGCUGAGGCUCGAAAGUGUGGGGAGCAAACAGG
This 253-nucleotide ribosomal RNA is filed under the name uncultured bacterium. RNAcentral's name for it is "partial 16S ribosomal RNA". It matches the Rfam family "Bacterial small subunit ribosomal RNA", at positions 524 to 776 of the family's 1533-position model. The record is from RNAcentral.